UGACGUACUUGUACUGAUUGAGAUUUUAACACGAAGUGAGUGGCGAACGGGUGAGUAACACGUGGGUAACCUGCCCAGAAGUAGGGGAUAACACCUGGAAACAGAUGCUAAUACCGUAUAACAGAGAAAACCGCAUGGUUUUCUUUUAAAAGAUGGCUCUGCUAUCACUUCUGGAUGGACCCGCGGCGUAUUAGCUAGUUGGUGAGGUAAAGGCUCACCAAGGCAGUGAUACGUAGCCGACCUGAGAGGGUAAUCGGCCACAUUGGGACUGAGACACGGCCCAGACUCCUACGGGAGGCAGCAGUAGGGAAUCUUCCACAAUGGACGCAAGUCUGAUGGAGCAACGCCGCGUGAGUGAAGAAGGGUUUCGGCUCGUAAAGCUCUGUUGUUAAAGAAGAACGUGGGUAAGAGUAACUGUUUACCCAGUGACGGUAUUUAACCAGAAAGCCACGGCUAACUACGUGCCAGCAGCCGCGGUAAUACGUAGGUGGCAAGCGUUAUCCGGAUUUAUUGGGCGUAAAGCGAGCGCAGGCGGUCUUUUAAGUCUAAUGUGAAAGCCUUCGGCUCAACCGAAGAAGUGCAUUGGAAACUGGGAGACUUGAGUGCAGAAGAGGACAGUGGAACUCCAUGUGUAGCGGUGAAAUGCGUAGAUAUAUGGAAGAACACCAGUGGCGAAGGCGGCUGUCUGGUCUGCAACUGACGCUGAGGCUCGAAAGCAUGGGUAGCGAACAGGAUUAGAUACCCUGGUAGUCCAUGCCGUAAACGAUGAUUACUAAGUGUUGGAGGGUUUCCGCCCUUCAGUGCUGCAGCUAACGCAUUAAGUAAUCCGCCUGGGGAGUACGACCGCAAGGUUGAAACUCAAAAGAAUUGACGGGGGCCCGCACAAGCGGUGGAGCAUGUGGUUUAAUUCGAAGCUACGCGAAGAACCUUACCAGGUCUUGACAUCUUCUGACAGUCUAAGAGAUUAGAGGUUCCCUUCGGGGACAGAAUGACAGGUGGUGCAUGGUUGUCGUCAGCUCGUGUCGUGAGAUGUUGGGUUAAGUCCCGCAACGAGCGCAACCCUUAUUACUAGUUGCCAGCAUUAAGUUGGGCACUCUAGUGAGACUGCCGGUGACAAACCGGAGGAAGGUGGGGACGACGUCAAAUCAUCAUGCCCCUUAUGACCUGGGCUACACACGUGCUACAAUGGAUGGUACAACGAGUCGCGAGACCGCGAGGUUAAGCUAAUCUCUUAAAACCAUUCUCAGUUCGGACUGUAGGCUGCAACUCGCCUACACGAAGUCGGAAUCGCUAGUAAUCGCGGAUCAGCAUGCCGCGGUGAAUACGUUCCCGGGCCUUGUACACACCGCCCGUCACACCAUGAGAGUUUGUAACACCCAAAGCCG
This 1385-nucleotide ribosomal RNA is filed under the name Pediococcus pentosaceus. Its description in RNAcentral is "bacterial SSU rRNA". It matches the Rfam family "Bacterial small subunit ribosomal RNA", at positions 60 to 1429 of the family's 1533-position model. Lineage: Bacteria; Bacillati; Bacillota; Bacilli; Lactobacillales; Lactobacillaceae. The record is from RNAcentral.